Molecule: ribosomal RNA, 301 nt
Filed under: uncultured bacterium
Lineage: Bacteria
Description: partial 16S ribosomal RNA
Rfam family: Bacterial small subunit ribosomal RNA
Source: RNAcentral
CGUCGCCGCGGGAAUACAGAGGGUGCGAGCGUUAAUCGGAUUUACUGGGCGUAAAGCGUGCGUAGGCGGCUUCUUAAGUCGGAUGUGAAAUCCCUGAGCUUAACUUAGGAAUUGCAUUCGAUACUGGGAAGCUAGAGUAUGGGAGAGGAUGGUAGAAUUCCAGGUGUAGCGGUGAAAUGCGUAGAGAUCUGGAGGAAUACCGAUGGCGAAGGCAGCCAUCUGGCCUAAUACUGACGCUGAGGUACGAAAGCAUGGGGAGCAAACAGGAUUAGAUACCCGAGUAGUCCCUGUCUCUUAUACA